This 113-nucleotide ribosomal RNA is filed under the name Acanthosepion pharaonis. The record is from RNAcentral. Lineage: Eukaryota; Metazoa; Mollusca; Cephalopoda; Sepiida; Sepiidae.
UUCGACCAUAUCCCAUUGAAACACUAGUUCUCAUACAAUCAUCAAAGUUAAGCAAUGUUGAGCCUGGUCAGUACCUAGAUGGGUGACCGCUUAGGAAUAUCAAGUGCUGUAAG